Camelus dromedarius (Arabian camel) is the source of this 413-nucleotide long non-coding RNA. RefSeq lists it as uncharacterized. The transcript is spliced from 3 exons. The record is from RefSeq and is a predicted model, not a curated record. NCBI's taxonomy places the organism in Eukaryota, Metazoa, Chordata, Mammalia, Artiodactyla, Camelidae.
CACAAAUUCAGAAAGAAAUGAGGCAGCCUGGCCUUGUCCCUGUGCCCAUGGCCGGGUUCCAGGAGGACAAGGAGAAGCAUGCAGUCUUUUGAGGCAGAGCUUGUGAACUGGCACAGCAAUAUAGCUGCCACCUUCUACUGGCCAAAGCAAGUCACAAGCCAGGGAGAUGCAAAGGGUGGAGAAAUAGAUCCCACCUUUGACGGAAGGCAUGUUAAAGCCAUGUGGCAAAAGAAAUAAUAGGACACAUUUGUUGCAAGUUGUCUUAUCCACAAGAAUUUGCAUAGAAUUAUAGGAUUAUAUUGAUCAGAAGAGGAAUGUACCACAUUAGACGAGGAAAACGUAUGGAGGUUAGUUAGUAGAAUUAGCAGUAAGCCGGUGAUUUCACAGCAACGUGUGCAGGUUACAUGACGAUA